Non-coding RNA from Elaeis guineensis (African oil palm), 3372 nucleotides. NCBI's taxonomy places the organism in Eukaryota, Viridiplantae, Streptophyta, Magnoliopsida, Arecales, Arecaceae. The record is from RefSeq and is a predicted model, not a curated record.
UAUAUAUAUAUAUAGACACACACACACCAUAGCAUAAAGAAAAUAUAUUUACAGAAAUGUAUUACUAUUUUAUGGAGGAGCAUUGACCAGUAUUUUGCUCAUCUUGCUUCAUUGUAAAUGGUCCUUGUUGCAUCCAGCUCCCACGCGUGAGGAUGCUUCCUGAGCUUCGGCUCGAGGACCUGCAAAAAAAUACUGUUGGAGUGUUUUUCGACGAAAACCCUCCGACGUUCAAGUCAAAAGAUAGAAAACAACGAGAAUGAGAAAACAGAAGUUGAGGGCUUACCCUGAUGGGUCACCACGCCCCUCUAUUUAUAAAGGAGAAGUUGGAGCCAUGCACGCCAUGGAGUCUUGACCGAUCUCCAAUUAUUGUGCAUACAUUGGGCUGGUAGGAGUUUUUUCCUUUUGAGGUGUGACCCAAUUGCGGAGAUAUUUUCUCUUAUCUAGACUUUUCCCAAACCGAAAGUGGGGUGGAUCCUGUCAAUAGAGCUUGCUGUGUGCCAUAAGCAUAGAUCGGCUCUGGCCGAUCUGAAGGUACUUCGGCCAGGCCAAGGUAAAUAUCUAGGCCUUAGCCUUAGUCUAGCCGUCCGUGUGCCCCUGUUGAUUUCUUCUGGCUGCUGAAGUCCCGAUCUUCGAGGUUCUUUGGUUGAUGCUAAGGAUGCGACCGGCCAAGGCCAAGGUGGAGAUCCCAACAGCCCUAUUGUGGCUUCCCUCUUAAUAUGUUUUCUUGAUGAAUAAGGGAUGCUAGAUGGCCACCCAGCUUUUAUUAGAGAUAGGAGAUAUUUACAGCAAGGAAGAAGAAGAAGUGGAUAUGCGAACCAGUUCCCAUUCCUACAGGCAACAGGACAGCAGGAAUUUCAGUAAAGAUUACAGAGCCUUAUAGAUCAAAAGACUAGUGCCAACCUUGAGGGUACAUAAGACAGGAUUAGAAAAGCUGUCUGAAGGUGAGGAAAAGAAAAAAACUCAGACAUCCUUGAGCAGACCUGGUGCCAUUUUGAUUUUGAACCAGAUUUUUGCAUGCUCAGAUAGAGAACACCCAUCACAAAGAUUGGACCAGAAGGUUGAGCAGAAGGAGAGCUUCAUAAGCCACAGUUGAAACAGAAGCUUGCUUGUUGAGGAACAAUUUGCCGUUUCGCUCCUUCCAACAGCACCAAGUAAGUGCUCCAAUUAGCAAGAGAGCCACAGGCCUGGCUGAUUUGGAGAAGUUCCGCCUUUAUCUAGACCAUGCAGAGUUCUUCCAAGGUCCCGUGGGAAGGUAAAAGCCCGAGAAAAUUGCAGCAAACUCUCCAAAUAGCAAUGAAGAAAGGGCAGGAGGAGAACAGAUGGUCGAUUGUCUGAACAGGGCUUUGGCAAAAAACACAGCCAGCUAAAUUCUUUCCAAUUUUCCUACCCAGACCAAAGCGAGUGUUGAUUUUGUUUUUCCAACAGAGCCAAAGGAAACACUUCACUUUUAAUGGGGCUUUGAUAUCCCAAAGAAAGGGGCAAAUCUACACUUGACACCCCUUGAUUUUAAGAACUUGUACAUAGGGGCUAUAGAGAAAGAACCAUUGGGACCGAGCUGCCAUUCAAUAGAAUCAUCUUCAUUAAUAAGGUUACAAUGAGCAAGCAAGCGAGGAUCUCAAGAGGUUGAACUGCAGGUGGAGUUCACUGGAAUGAAGGGUAGAAAAUCUGAAUUUCCAAGACAAGGUUUGUCCAUUGAAGAAGUCCGCCGUUGAACCAUUUUUCUUGGCGCUGCACUCAAAAACUAAUGGACAAAUGUUCUUCAAGGGAGCAUCACACGACCAUGAAUCCUUCCAAGACGGGGUAUUUUUUCCAUUCCUAACCUUAAAAUGUACUCUGUUCCAAAAAGCUGGUAGGGAUUUAACAACAUUUUUCCAAAAACUCAAGCACCUAGCAAGGUGGGUGGGGUACACCUAGGCAGUUUAAUUUUUCUAUGAUAUUCAAAUUCAAUUUGCUUACUCCACAUGCGCAGGUCAUUUUUUAUGUUAUCUCCAUUCCAUUUCGACAAAAGCACGGUGUUAAGUUGGUUGAUAUCCUUGUGCCUAAACCUCCUUCCUCCUUUUGAAGACAAGUGCUUUCCCCAUUUACUUUGCAAGACAGACCACAGAAGUGCCAAUCCACAGAAAAGAUCUUCUAAGUUUAUCAAUUUUCUUAAUAACCUAUGAAGGAAGCUUUAAAAGAAACAUAUAAUAAAGAGGGAGGGAGGUAAGUUCUGAGUUGAUCAGAACAAGUCUUCCGCCAAAGGAGAGAUAUUUGCUUUUCCAAGAUGCCAACCUAGUUAAUUUUUUGAAUCAGAAACAUCCAAUCAGCUUUGGACGGUUUGGUACUAGAUAAAGAUAGCUCCAGGUAUUUGAAAGGUGUCUCAAUCUCAGUACAAUUCAACCAAUUUGCACAGAUUGAACUACUUUCCCCUUCCAAAUGCUGACCAAUAGAUGCGACACAGCUUUUCUGGUAGUUUAUGGCAAAUCCUGAGAUGAGCUCAAAACAAUAUGUAAUGACCUUUUAACACUGCAAAAAAAAAUUUUUGCUUCUUGAGAAAAAUCAGUGUAUCAUCAGCAUAUCGAAGAAUCUUGGCACCGCCACAAAUCCAAGGAUCCCCCAAGCCUUCAUAAAUUUUACAAGAAGCUGCCAAAUUCAACAUCCUGGCAAGUGGGUCCACCAACAAAAUAAAGAGGAGAGGGGAGAGAGGAUCUCCUUGUCGAAGGCCGCACCGACAAAAAAUCCAAUCAAGCUCCCCAUCAACACUCACCACGGUCCUACCAGAGAAGAGAAGAGUGGUUGUAGGGGAUCAGACAUGAGUUAUCAGACUGAAACUUGUGGUCACUAAUGAGGGAAGGUGCAGUGCUAUGAUUCUCUGCUGGCUUCUGGGAAAUGGAUGCCCUUUCUCAUUUAAUAGCAUGUUCACAACCAAAGAUUACUAUGUCUUCCUCUAUCUGCCUUCCACCGGCACUGUAAUUUCAUAUGCAUAAAUGGAAUUGGUUGGCUGUUUGGCCCAUAUGCAAAGGAUAUUAAAAAAAGAAAAAAGAAACAUUACAUUAUCAUUUUAUUUCUACUAAAACCUGAAGAGGGAAGACCAUCAGAUUUCUGCUCAUGACUGAAGUCCAAGGUUGGUGGCCUCUCGACCAGUUUUCAGCUCAGUUUUUUCUACAGUGUAAUUACGUUUGUAGACAUCUGGACCCCUUUUUUUGAGGGUAAAAAACUUACUCAAGAAUUUGUAUUUUUUUGGAUUAGUAUUUGGCAAUAUUUAGAUAAAAAAAUAAUUUAUUCAUAUUCUUUUUUGCAUUGGAAAAUGGCUCAGAAAUCUGUUACCCGUUUUCUUUUGCAUUACUAGUUUUUUGGAUAAGUUGCUAAGAUAUCUAUUCAUAUUUUUCAUAA